RNAcentral lists this ribosomal RNA (253 nucleotides) under uncultured bacterium. RNAcentral describes it as "partial 16S ribosomal RNA". It matches the Rfam family "Bacterial small subunit ribosomal RNA", at positions 524 to 776 of the family's 1533-position model. The record is from RNAcentral.
UACAGAGGCCCCAAGCGUUACUGAGAAUCACUGGGUUUAAAGGGUGCGUAGGCGGCUUUGCAAGUUGGGUGUGAAAGCCCUCGGCUCAACCGAGGAAUUGCGCUCAAUACUGCCGAGCUCGAGAGAGACAGAGGUAAGCGGAACUAAUGGUGGAGCGGUGAAAUGCGUUGAUAUCAUUAGGAACACCGGUGGCGAAGGCGGCUUACUGGGUCUUUUCUGACGCUGAGGCACGAAAGCCAGGGGAGCGAACGGG